UCAACAUUUUGGAACAUGUGUUGAUAAUGUGAUAAAACAUUUCCCUUUGCCAACAAUUGCGGAUAAUGCGAUUGCCUCAAAUAAACAUAAAAAACAGAAAAACAAAAAACCAGACAUCCUGAGUAAUAUAUUCCAGAAAUCAGAUUGUGCAUUUAGUGUUGCUAGGGAGGAUUAUGCCAUUUUGCUGCUCCAAAUCAUAAACUUUUCAUAGAGGAAGUGUUUCCCCAAGGACCAAAGAAUCCUUCCUUUUUCCCCAUUGUAAAUUUACCAUGCUUUUUGUCCUAGAUCUGUUGUUUUAGGUCAAUCAUAACCAAAAGAUGAAUCUUUAUGUAGUUAUUUCUGUAAACAAAAUUUUACUUGUUGAUGACUACAUUAGUGUUACUAAAACUUGAUUUGGCUUUGUAGAGGAGAUACAUCAUUGUGUUGUGAAUUUUAAUUUCACCUUCUAAUAGAUUUUGUGGUUUCAUUUUACCAGUUUUAAUAAUGGAACAAGUGUGGUAUUUUUAACUAUCAUACUUAAAUUUUGUGUUUAAUUUUUCUCUAAAUUAUAUUUAAUAUGUUUACUUUUCAGGAAUUACCCAACUCUGUCUUUUUGGUGAUGGAGUAUUGCAAUGGUGGAGACCUCGCAGAUUAUUUGCAAGCAAAAGGAACUCUCAGUGAAGACACCAUCAGAGUGUUUCUGCAUCAGAUUGCUGCUGCCAUGUGAAUCCUGCACAGCAAAGGAAUCAUCCACAGAGAUCUCAAACCACAGAACAUCUUGCUGUCCCAUGCUAAUCGCAGAAAAUCAAGUGUCAGUGGUAUUCGCAUCAAAAUAGCGGAUUUUGGUUUUGCUCGUUACCUACAUAGU
This is a long non-coding RNA of Piliocolobus tephrosceles (Ugandan red Colobus), 847 nucleotides long. RefSeq lists it as uncharacterized. The record is from RefSeq and is a predicted model, not a curated record. Lineage: Eukaryota; Metazoa; Chordata; Mammalia; Primates; Cercopithecidae. The transcript is spliced from 4 exons.